CCUACGGGCGGCAGCAGUGAGGAAUAUUGGUCAAUGGGAGAGAUCCUGAACCAGCCAAGCCGCGUGAGGGAAGACGGCCCUAUGGGUUGUACACCUCUUUUGUCGGAGAACAAACCCCGGGACGUGUCCCGGACUGCGUGUAUCCGAAGCAAAAGCAUCGGCUAACUCCGUGCCAGCAGCCGCGGUAAUACGGAGGAUGCGAGCGUUAUCCGGAUUUAUUGGGUUUAAAGGGAGGGUAGAUGGGUUGUUAAGUCAGUUGUGAAAGUUUGCGGCUCAACCGUAAAAUUGCAAUUGAGACUGGCAGCCUUGAGUACAGUUGAGGUAGGCGGAAUUCGUGGUGUAGCGGUGAAAUGCUUAGAUAUCACGAAGAACUCCGAUUGCGAAGGCAGAUUACUAAACUGCCACUGACAUUGAUGCUCGAAAGUGUGGGUAUCAAACAGGAUUAGAGACCCUUGUAGUC
RNAcentral lists this ribosomal RNA (460 nucleotides) under uncultured bacterium. RNAcentral describes it as "partial 16S ribosomal RNA". It matches the Rfam family "Bacterial small subunit ribosomal RNA", at positions 338 to 795 of the family's 1533-position model. The record is from RNAcentral.